GAAAGCUGAGGACCAAAGCAGCUACAGGAUUGACCUGCCCAAAGUCACACAGUGCGUCUGCAGCCCGGCUUCGGACCAGAGUUUCUUCUGAUAAGAGGCAAGCUCACUGAUGGCCACACCUGCUCAUCCUGGCUAACGUCUACAGACCUGUGCCAAGGAGCCAAAGAGAAGAGAUCAGAAUAACCAAGGUAUGCUGUGUCAAAUUAAUUAACUUUUAGCAAACCAAGGGCCAA
Molecule: long non-coding RNA, 233 nt
Filed under: Papio anubis (olive baboon)
Lineage: Eukaryota; Metazoa; Chordata; Mammalia; Primates; Cercopithecidae
Description: lncRNA (ENSPANG00000047054.1)
Source: RNAcentral